CCUACGGGCGGCUGCAGUGAGGAAUAUUGGUCAAUGGACGAGAGUCUGAACCAGCCAAGUAGCGUGAAGGAUGACUGCCCUAUGGGUUGUAAACUUCUUUUAUAUGGGAAUAAAACGUUCCACGUGUGGGAUUUUGUAUGUACCAUAUGAAUAAGGAUCGGCUAACUCCGUGCCAGCAGCCGCGGUAAUACGGAGGAUCCGAGCGUUAUCCGGAUUUAUUGGGUUUAAAGGGAGCGUAGGUGGAUUGUUAAGUCAGUUGUGAAAGUUUGCGGCUCAACCGUAAAAUUGCAGUUGAAACUGGCAGUCUUGAGUACAGUAGAGGGGGGCGGAAUUCGUGGUGUAGCGGUGAAAUGCUUAGAUAUCACGAAGAACUCCGAUUGCGAAGGCAGUUCACUGGACUGCAACUGACACUGAGGCUCGAAAGUGUGGGUAUCAAACAGGAUUAGAUACCCGUGUAGUC
This 460-nucleotide ribosomal RNA is filed under the name uncultured bacterium. Its description in RNAcentral is "partial 16S ribosomal RNA". It matches the Rfam family "Bacterial small subunit ribosomal RNA", at positions 338 to 795 of the family's 1533-position model. The record is from RNAcentral.